RNAcentral lists this long non-coding RNA (15357 nucleotides) under Cucumis sativus (cucumber). RNAcentral's name for it is "long non-coding RNA (CSAT_LNC000982)". Lineage: Eukaryota; Viridiplantae; Streptophyta; Magnoliopsida; Cucurbitales; Cucurbitaceae. The record is from RNAcentral.
UCCUGCGGCCCACCUCCACCGUCACACCGGCGUCGAAACACAUGUCGGCUACGGCGGCAUAUACGUAGCCUUUCUUCAUCAUCGCACCCACUAAUCUCACUACCUCCUCUUUAACCUUCUCAUACGCUUCAUCCACUAAAUAAGUCAGGUCCGAACCGGAGUCAAUCAUGGUUUGACCCGACCCACCCGCAUCCGGUUUGAAAGCGGCUGGGGGGAUGUUUAACCGUUUUCCGGCUAUUUUUAUUGCCUUCAUAGGGAGAGUGUAAGCCAGUGGGUCGAGAUUCGGAGAGCUUUGACUUUCCGGAAAAGUCAACAUGGUGACGUAUUUGAAUUUGGAAGAAUUGGGGUUAUCUCCCAGGUAGAAUAGCCCGGUGGGAUUAGGCCCGGUUCGACUCGGAACGCAAUAGGAGAAUUUGGAGAUUUUAGCUUGGGAGAUAAAGGACAAACGUCCAUGAUUCAUUCCCAAAAUACCCCUGUUUUCGGUGGAGCCUUGAGCGCAACCGAGGAUGACGGGAGGGGUAGAAAGAGAAUUAGAGAAGGUAAAUUUUUCUCUGACGAGAUUUCCCUCAGCCAAGGUACCGUCAGCGUAGAAGUAGGAGUAGUGGCAGAGGCGAUUUUGAUCACAAGAAGUGGGAAGAGUAAAAUCUGGAAUUCGGGGUUUGCAGAUGGGGUGAUUACAAGGGAGGAGAGAAAAAGAAGAGGAGAGAGAAGGAUCAAAGGUGGCGGUUUUAGGCUUGGGCAAGGGGGGCAAUCUUUUCUUAACUUUUUUGUCAUGACAUUGAAUCCAAGAGAGUUGGCUGCCGGUGUCUAGAACCAAGUCAGUGGGCUGUGGCGGCGUUCCGAUCGGAAGAGAGACGACGAGGGCAGAGGAGGAGUAUUUGAAAGGAAGCUUGAAGGGGCCAUGGGAUGAUGGCUUUUUGACGUAAAGCUGGGAAGAGUAGUAUAAUGGGGUAAUAUUGGAGGGUUUUUCAGUGAGAGAAAGAGGGAAGGGGAGAGAGAGGGAAUUGGAUUGAGAGAAGGAGAGAGUGAAUAAUGAGAGAGAGAAGAGAAUUAGAAGCAUUGUUGAUUGUGUUGGGGGGGGGAUUGGUGAAGUGGAGGGUUGGGGAUUAUAUACAUCAGGAGAGAAAAAAAAAAUAGAAGAGAGAGAAAAAGAAAAGAAAUUAUUCGCGGAGGGCAAGGAUUCCAUGCUGUUAAAUGUGUGAUAGAGAGAAUUCAAAAGCUGAAUGGUAAAUUUUUGCCCUGAGGUAAUAAAUCGUAUCAUUGACCUGUAAAAUUCAGGAAAUUUGCGUCCAAUAAAAACUUAACAUAAUUAACGUAGGUAAUUUUUACUAGAAAAACAGGUAAAGAUUUGAGAUGCCUAUUUUUAUAUGCACAUACUUAAUAAUUUAAGAUUAAUGGUAAUUAAAGAUGUUUUUGUAUGCAUAAAUAGGUGGAGAAUUUAAAUGAUAUUUUGUGUUUGUAAUGUUAGGGUUUUAGGAGGUAGUUAGUUUUGUAAGGUUAUGGUAGGAGAGAGAGAGGGAAAGAAGUGGGCAUAAAACCACCAAGAAAAAAGGCCAAAAUUGAAAAAAAGGGGAAUGACGCGUUUUCUUUGUAGAGUUGUAAUAACAUAUCUAAUUAGUUUAAUUGUCACAUUCCUUUUAUAAUUUAUUUCUAAUUUUUUGGGAGGAAUUAAAUUGCAUGGUGUUAGAUUAUGCUAAAGUCCCCUUGCCUCUUUUUUUUGUUCCUCCCUCCAUGAUUCAUUUAGUGUUCCCGUAAGUUUCUACCCUACAAUAAAUUGAGUUUUUUCUUCACACAUGGAUCAAAAAUAAAUCUAGAGAACGAGUAAGAAAAAACAAUUAACUCGUUUUUCAAAACACGAAAUAUUUUUUUAAAAGAUUUUAAAUUUGUAGUAUUUUUGUCGUGUCGUGAGUUUGUUUGUGAAAGGAAAAAUGUGGUUAUAAAAAGAAGUGAAAUAUUAAUACACUACUUUUUCUUUUUUAAAAAAUAGACUAAAUGAUACAAAAUGUCUCUCCAAUUUUGCAAUUUUAGGUUAAAAAUAAGGAUCCUUCCAAAAAUAGUAAAAAAAAUUAUGAUAAUAGAACUUAUGUCACUACAUUUACUAAAAUGUAAAAGUAACAAAUUUAAAAGUCGAUAACCUUAUGAUUAUUGUCUGAUAGCCAUUCGAUAGCUCUAUGAUUACCGUCUGUAGCCGUCUGAUAUCAAUAAUUUUUUUUAUUCAUAAUAUGUAAAAUAUAGGUAUCAUGUGCUGUUCUUUUCUAAAUGUUUUUUUUUUUCAUUUGAUGCAAUUUUUCUUAAAAAUAUUCCUAAAUUUUCAAAAGUUUCAAAAAUAUCCUCAAACCUUAAAAAGGUUUUUUUUUAAAAAAAUACACUUACGGUUAGUUUUGAUGAAAAUUGUUAAAGCUUUGUUUAAAAAAAUAACCCUAAGCUAUUUAAAAGUAAAAAAAAAAAAAAAACAACUCUAGCAAUUAGUAUAUGAACUGAAAUCGUUAACAUCUCAUUGGAAAAAUAACUCGAUCUAAAUUAGAAAGAUCUCUAUCUCGUUGCUAUGAAAAAGUUAGGGUUUCUCAUUGUGAUUAUGUUAUAUACAUAUUCAAAGGACACUUAGUCCUCUAGUUAAGGAUGUCAAUUCAGUUUGUUUUAAGAGAAACAUAUGUAUUAUCUUGUUGUUUCAAUUUGUGUUAAAAGAAUGGAAUGUUACAUGUAUUGAAGACAUACUCUAUUUUCUCCUUACUAUUGUGCGUCGUGGUUCAUUGAGAGAUGAUUUUCUAAGCUCAGAAGGAGUCUAAGUCAUUCGAACAAAGAAGAUUUUGUUCAAUGGAAAGAUACAACAUUGUGAGAGAGGGAGUCUCACAAACUUUAGGAGGACUCAAGUUCUUCAGAGAGAGAGCACUACAAGAAAUUUAUUAUUCAGUGGCAAAGUUUUAGUGGCAUAAGUGAUUUUUGUUAGUAAAUGGUUACUUUUAGCAACACAAAAAAAAGUUGUCACAAAAUAUUAUUAUUAGCAACAUAUUUUUAAUUCAUGUCACUAAAACUUUUAGUAACACACAAAAUAAUAUCACUAAAAGUUAAAUAAUUUUAGCAACAAAUGAAAAUGUUAAAAACUCUACCAAAAUCUCCCUCCUUAAAUCUCCCUCUAACUUUUCAUUUAAUAAUUUAUUAAACAUAUAUUUUUUUUCAUCAAGCCCUAAUUUCUCUUCAUCUUCCAUGACAAAAAAAAAAAAAAAAAAAACCCCACAAUUCCACAUCCCCAAAUUCCCAACCCUCUCCAUCUCAUCGGUCGACCAUGUUUCAAUUAACUCACGUCAACUAACUGCAACCGACGACCACCCACGACAACCCAACUUCUCCUUUUGUUUAUAUCAACUCCAUCUCCCUCCUCUCAUCCCCCCCUUCCCACCCCAUUCCCCCACCUCCCCUUUCUACAUCCAUCAAACCCUUCUUCUUUUUUCCUUUUCUAUCCAUCUCACCUCCCCUUGAAGAUUCGGUUCUCAUCAACUUUUCCAUGGCUGAGUUGACUCAGCCGGAGGUCUACUCGCCCGACAAUCUGUACGUCUAGAAGACCCUCUUGAACUGGUUGGCUUUCUUCUUCCAGAUCUUUGUUUCCAUCCUCACAGCUUUUGGACACCUUCGUCUUCUUUUUGUGCAAAUUGAGAUGUACUUCUUUGAUUUCGUCCUCUUCUUUUGGGUAUAUAUUCUUACCUUUGAAAAUGGAGGCUUGUGAAUGCUAGUGGAAGAAGAAGAGUAUGCGAGGAGGCUCAAGAGAGAACACAGAAAGAUAUGACAAAGGUCUAAGUAGUUGCACAUAUUAGGAAAAUGAUCAAGCUUUCUCCUAAGAGCAAUUACUAUCUCCACAAUGUUGUCUUGCAUUAUUUGCUCAAAGGUGUGGUGGUUAUAGUUUUGUUCUUAUGAAGAUAGUUUUACACCAUUUCCUAUGGUUUUUAUUACUUUGGACAAACCUACAUGCUUGAACUCAUUUUGUGCUUAAGAUUUGCUAUAACUUAUAUAUUAUGCUUUUAAUGCUUGUAUGAACUCGUUUCAACAAUUUUAUAUUAUGCUUCUAAUGCUUAAGAUUUGUUCAAAAGUAUGAGUGAACAGAUCAUGAUAAUUCAGUAAGUUUUUUUGGCAUUCUUCGUUGUUUUAUCCAAUUCUUUAAUGGCGUAAAGAAUAAAACUAUUUGAUAAAAUGUUGCUAUGUCAACCCAUUUUAAUUUGAUAUUGUUGUAUUUUGAUUUAUGUUGUGGAAUCCAAGUUUGUAUUUGAAGCCAAGUUCACCCAUGAUCAUUGAGUUUCAAGCUUCUUAAAGUAAGAUUAUUGGACCACACUACAGAGACUACAAGGGCAAUACAAAAUCAACAAAAUUUGAAACGUGCUUGAUGUUUUUUAAAUGUCAUGAACAAGUAUAUUAUUGAUGUUUUUCCAAAGUCAUACACAAAUAUAUUCUUGACGUUUUUCAAAUGUCAUAAAAAAGUAUAUUCUUGACAUUUUUCAAAUGGCAUAGAAAAGUAUAUUCUUGACUUUUUCAAAUGUCGUUAACAUCAACAUACUUGACGAUUUUACAAGUCAUGAACAUUUGAAUACAUGACGUUUAUAAACUAUGAAUGUUUAUUAUUCUUGACAUUUUUAACUGUCAUGAACUUCGACUUUCUUGACGUUGACUUCAAUGAUAGUUUUAAAAUCGUCAAGAAUAAUACUUCUUGACUUUUAAAAUGCUUGCAUUUGUCGGUUUGAUCAAUUAUGAAGGGUAAGGGGCACUUAGCCAAUCCACUAAAGCUUUUUCUCAUACUUUGUGACAGUGAUGUAGCCUUGAAUUAAACUUAUAAAUUCAUUCCUAUUUCUGUCGCAAAAGAAGUGAGGGUAGAACUUAUCCCAAAACGUGAUAGGUUUUAGAUAUACAACUUACUGUGGCAUUUUUUUGAUAAAACAAUGGAGUCAAAACACAAGAUAAAGAACGAAAAUGCAUAGCUUCUAAUGCAAAUUUAUAACAUUAAAAAAGUGCACCUUACAUAAGUCAUUAUGCUUGCUUAACUAUACAUUUCAAGUGUUUUUAUAUGCAAGAUAAUGAUAUGCAAAUAGCUUGACGAUUCAAAUCACAAGGUGAGAUGCCAUCUCAUUGAUUAACGUGUAGAAAUACACGUUAUUCUAGCCUCUUUUAUUAGAAUAAUGAGGUCGAAAUUAAGAAAAAGUUUAUCAAAUCGCGUGGUUUGUAUUGAAAUUGCAUAAUACUUGGAAAUAUAUUUUACAUAAAUUCCCUUGUCUACUUUUACCCAGUUUUUAGUGUCUCAAGGCAGGAUUAAUAAGAAUGAAGAAACUAGUGAAUGACAGAGGAGCUCAUGAAAGCGUUACCCUAUCAGAACCCCAUCUAGCGAGUACUAUUUCUAGGCGAGGAACCAUGUCAUCGCGUGAGGAAGGUUCACUAGAAGAUAAGAAUGGUAGUCGGAGUUGAUGUGACUUGGCAAGACUGUAAUCAACACUAACAUGAUCAGAAGAAUAGAAGUUUUCCACUAAAAGUUCCUAUAAAAAGACUCAAAGACCACCAAGAUAGGUGUGUCUGAAUGAGCCAAAAUUUCGAAAAGGCCUGAAUGGACCAAAACCUAAAGAGGGGUUGAAGGGAAUAGUCUUUCCACUGUCUGUAAAGAGUGCUUUCCUUCUCCUUCUUUGCUCAUACUGGUAGUCGGAGUUAAUUUUCCAUUUCCCUAUAACUUAUACUCAUUUCCCUUCUCUUUAUCUUUCCUUUUUGUGUUCAUUUGUAAUAUGUACUAUUCAUAUCGUACAAGGGCCGAAGACCUAUAUUCUUUCUUAUAUGUUACAUGUACCUAUUCAAUCCAUGAUUUCUUUACUUUCCAUCAGUCAAUGUGCUUAUUUGUAGUUGAGUUAUUCUCAUCUCUUGGCUAGUGUAAUUGAGAGGUAGACUCUAGCACUAAGAUUUGAUAUUAAUUCCCCAUGUUCAACCAUGGAUCAUUUAGGUAAACCUACUCUUUCACUUGUACUUGGCCAAACAGUAGGAAAAAUUACAUGUGAUAUGAAGUUAGUAUUCAUGUGAUAAAGAGGGCUUCGCAUACAAGGAUCAUGGCCAAUGACUUAUUGCAUAGAAUCAAUCAUGUGAAACAGAGAGACAUAGUGAGCACAUUGCAUGUUGUGAACAUGCUCAAUGACGUACCACCUAGACUAAUUUGUAAACUUCGAACACGAACAAAAGUCUGUUGGAUCGAUAUGGCAACCCUAGAGGGGGGUGAAUAUGGUUUAAAUAAACUUUUUGACAAAUAAAAAGUAAAAUCAACUAAUUAGAUAUUUUUUAAAUUUAAAUAAAGAACUUUGUAAACUUUGUUAAAUAACAAGAUUGAUAAAAAAGAUAUGAAUGGAAGUAUGCAAUCAAACUCAACCAAUAAGAAUAUGUAACUAAAAUUGAAUUAAAAAAUAACUAGAAAAGAGUUAGAGAAGAAGACACCAUAAUUUUAUAGUGGUUCGGUUAAACUCAACCUACAUCCACUUUUCCAAGCACCUCUCGGGAUUUUGAUUGAAAAUCUUCUUUUGACUCUUUCCACGGAUUUGAGUCGAACAGAUUCUUGCUCUUUUUUCGGGUUCAAAAGCAAACCCGAUCCUUUCCACGGGUUAGGAUCCAACCGUUACAAUAUGUUGAAGUUUUUAAAUCACACAAAAGAAAACUCUCUAAAAGAGUGAGUAUACAAUUUGAAGCUCACAAAUUUAAUCCUCUCAAUACAAUAAGAAGCUCUUAAGAGUAAGAUGAAAAGAAUAAAAAUUGGAAGCUUUAGAGAAUAACAAUGUUGACUUUUUCCACUUUUUGAGGAUUGUAAAGUUUUAAUGAUCUUGUCUCUUUAAAAUUUGGGAAAAGUGAAGUAUUUAAAAAGAGAGGAAAGAUAAUUCAAAAUCAUUUUGGGUCAUUAGAUAUAAGUAAAAGAAAAAUGAAUGGUUGGGAUUUAAACUUAAUUAGCCGUUAGACACAAUACAAAUAAUAAUAUAAUAAUAUGUCUUUUCAAAAUACUUUGUUUAAAAAGAAACCAAUAAAGCAACUUCACCAUCUUUAAAAAAAAAACUAGCCGUUAGAAACAAGGAAAAAUAAUAAUAUUAAAGUCAUUUUCUUUUUACAUUCAUUUUCUUUAUAAAAGCUAAUAAAACAUAACCAAAAGCCAUAUUUGUUACUCCUCCAUUGCUCCAAGUGACUUUCUCUAAUUGGUUCAAAUUGAAUGUUUGGUCGCCACAUCACCAUCUCGGGUAUUUUUCCGUUAAGCUUCUUUUAGCAAUAUUUUCUUCGUUUGAACUUUGAUUUGGGUGAUUCAAGAGGCGUUAGAAUCAUUUUUCCAAGCUCUACGAAUGGUCUAUUCAAAUUAAUAAAAUUUUCAAUAAAAAAAAUCAGAUUUGUUAUCAUCAAAACAUAAAUUAACUAAAUAAUUAAAAUAAAUUAAUUUGAGAUUAAGGGCCAAAAAGUCAACAAAGUCCGCACUCGCAUAGAUAAACACCACUCAUCAUGCGAGAUGAUUCGCUAGAAGACAGGAGUGAUAGUUGGAGCUGGUGUGAUAAGAAAUGACUACUUUCUGCACAGACAUCCAUAGGCAAGGACAAAUGUGUAACAUAACAUAAUUUAUUUUUCGCCUGUAUGCCUACAAAAGACUCCAACUCCACCAUGAACAAAAAAAAAAAAAAAAGAAAAAAGAAAAAAAAAAAGAGAUGAGGUCAUCCCUUAAAGAUGCCGGUGAAAUGAUGAGUUUUAGAAUCCUUUGCCAUCUGUAGUAGUAGUUCUUGCUCCACCUCUUCUCUGGUCAAUAUCUGAGUGAGAACUUAGAGAGAUUAAAAAGAGAGAAGCUCAUCCACAAUUCUCCUAAUUUGUAAAAGAGCCAAGGAAUGCACAAUGCAUUCUACGGAUCGAUACAUUUCUUUACUUUCCAUUUUUGUAUUUUGUAAUGUGUUAUAUGAAUGUUGAUAUUCUUAUGGCCUAAAGGCCUACAUUAUCAAUACAAUGCAUUUGUUAUCCACUGUCUCUCUUUCAUCUCUUUACUAUUCAUCUUGCUGAAGUGUUAUAAAUAGUUUAUGUAUGUAUUACAUGCUUGAUAAGGGUUCUUUGAAUACAAGACUCAUCGUGUAUAGCCUAAGCUUAACUCAAUCACUUGAUCAGUGCUUGUCGUCAACUACUCGAGAGAGUAAGUAGCAAGGACCUCACUAAACAUCUGCAUAAUGAAUUCUGGCAUUGUGCCUCCAAUCAUUUAUAUAUUAAAAGGAGAACAAGUGUGAUGUUUAGGAAUCAAGAAGUUUCUUGCCAUAAAUAGAGAGGCAAUGUAAGGCUUAUAAGUAAGGAAACCUAGAUAUAUAUUGCUUGAUUUAUCUUUGCCAUUUGUGUCCAGAAAAGAGAACAAGUGGGGUGUUUAGGCACCGAGAGGUUGCUCGCCUUAAAUAGAAGAUGGUUAAAUGGUCUACAUUGCAUCAAGGACUUCUCGUAUGGCUUAAAUCACCUAUAAUGCAGAUACUUUCCUUUGCCUUUCUACAUGCAAGUUAGUUUACAUUCCGUAAUUUUUUCGUUCCAUUCCUCUAUUAAAGAAUCCUCUGUGUACAUAUUUAAAUUAGUAUAAUUUUAUAUUUAUACUGUAUAGAAAUUAUACCGCUUGGGAUUAGAAGUAGGAUUUAUAUCUAUGUUUGUUAGAAAUUCUCCGUGUUCAAUCCUUGCUUAUUUAGGAAACCUCUCAGUUCGCUUACACUUAAAAAAGCGUGAGUAAAACAUGUGCUCACUGAAAAAUUAGAAGAAACAUCCACACUUAGUGAGAAAGUGUACCUUUUAUAACAUGGUCCUCACCUAAAGGCAAAGUUAGCACUUUUUAUUGCAUAACUUAGUCAACUCACGUUGCAAGUGGCAGAAAUAGAACCUUAAAUGAUGAACCAACGAAGAAUAAUUAAGUCGAUGAGAGUCACAAAACCAAUUCGCGUACUCAAUCCAGUGUUCAAUUUGUGAGAAGAAUGUAUUACAACAAUGAUUUUUUGAAGUCCUUCCAUGUAACAAAACUUACUCCACCUGAUUUCGUUGCAUGGAGAGUCCACCAAUGUUCAAUAUUGCCUUUCAACAAAAAUGCUACCAAUUUCACUUUUCUUUCCUCGGGGCAAUCUAUCACCCCAAAAAAUUUCUUAACUAAACUCAACUACUUCUCUACAUCAGUUGGACUAAUGGUUCCUUCAAAGGUCAUUACUCCCAACACUUUUAACCUCUCAAUGCUAAACCUCUUGUCCACAUUAGAGAUUGUAGGCAUAAGAUGAUCAACUGUUCUUUGAGCAAAGGGAUGAAACAUGCUUUCCUCUACAUUUUGCCUAAUGGUCUUAUGUGGGAUACUAGACAUCUCAUUCGAUCCUUGUGGUCUAUUAGCGUUCCUAGUAGUUGGAACAUUUGCUGCUACUUACCUUCCCUGCCUGGCCUUCCUCGUGGUGCCAUUACCCCUAUAACACAUCAAUAGAUUAGAUUUUCACACUAUCAGAUGAAUAUCUAUAUGCAUGACUUCUAAGACUUUUCUCAAUAACUUAUGCUCUGAAACAAUUUUUCACUUCUCGCCCCAAAGUCACUAUAUGCGACCAAGUGGAGACGUGACCACCUAGACAUUGUAUGUUAGUCUUUCUGAUAACGUGUAUAAAUAUCCGUUAUUAUAACCUCUCUUAUUAGAAUAAUGAGGUCAAAACGCACAAGAAGUUGAUCAAAACGUGUGACUUAUGUUGUAAAUACAUUAGUAAUUAGAAAUACAUCUUACAUAAGUAUCAUGCAUGUUUUACGUGAUUUUCAUGUUUAAACACAUAGUAAGUGGACAAGAAGAAAAUAGCAAAUCACUGAGGACAUCUCGCGCAUAGUCAACGCAAUAGGAACUCGCCUAGUGAAUAACGUUUCCAGAUGGGGACCCACGUCAUCAACGAGGAAAGCUCACUGGAAAACAAAAACAAUAGUUGGAGUGAUGCGACUUCAUAAGACCAAAGUCAGCACUAAAAGUCUUAGAGGAACGAUUGUUUCUUAAAUAUAUUGUGGGCGCUAGAUGACAAUUAAUCACGAAGCAUUUUUUGUAUUUUCAUUGUGAACAUAUGUACAUUUUUUUCGUUUUUUAAAUUGUUCUAUAUAAUAUAAAUAUUUGAGCGUUUUGUUAUAUUUGGUAAAAGACCUCUAAAAUUAUCCGUUUUAAUUUCUCAUAAAAUUGACAUUCAUAUUUAUUUGAAUUUUUAUUGCCAUUUUGGUAAAUUUGGGAUCUUAAUACUCUCUCUCUCUCCCUCUCCACUCAUGGGAAAUUGUAAUUCUUUUGAGAUCGGUAAAAAAUGUCAAGAGAUAGGUAACUUUUUACUUUAUUCCCAUCCAUACCAUGUUGAAAAGAUUUGAUGCAUUAACAAAAACUCAUACAAUAUAAUUGAAGAAGAUAUAUGAAAUGGACACGCGUCAAUCGUAACCAUAGAGCAACCAACAAACACAACAUAUCUACCGGUUAUUUGCAAAUUAAAAAUUUUCAAACAAAAUUAUUUGUUGUUUUUAUAAAACUUAGUAACACAUGGCUAAUUGCAAUCUAAAUUUUAUUAUUCUUAUCAUAAAAAAACAUACAUUAAAAAACAUACUUCUCUAUAUUUUAAUCAAAUACUUUUAAUUAGAUGUAAUUCAUAAAUGAAGUUGAGUAUCGGUUAGUCGAAGUUGGUUUUUCAACCAAAUUAUCACUAAAUCAAUUAUGAUUGGUUUAGUACAUGUUCAAAUCGAUUUUCACCAUGAAAAAUUAUAAAUCAAUCGUUGGUGAUAAAUUGAUCAAUCGAUUUAAACUUUUGAAUUUUUUUCAAAAUGUUAUUGGUUUAAGUUUUUUUCCAAACGAACACUUACCAAGCUCCUCCUUAUUACUUAUUGGCCACCUUCAAUUCAAAUACCUCAAUUUUUCAGUUUCUUAGUCCUAUCAUGCUCAAUCAUCCCGUUCGAAGUAAACUUAAAUAUUCUUUUAUUUUAGUUAAAAUCACUACAAGAAAAAUGACCUACCAUGACACCUUACUACAACCCAAAUUGAAACGAGAGAGAGAAAAAAUGCCACAAAAAUCAAAAUUUUCGUUUUUGGCGAGGGAAAACGAUGUUUUCGAAUUCAACUUUUUUGUAACAGUUAUUUAUUGUUAAACUUUACCCUUUAAUUUUAUUCACGGGGUUGCCAAGAUUGGUGUGUCGUCGCCAUCUACCCACAACCACCACUCCCUUUGUUAAUCUCUAUCACAACCUCUUCCUCUUGGUGCGUGGUCUUGUUGUGUUUUUCUUUACACAUUUCAUUUGUACAUUAAUGGCCAAUUAGUUUGAGUUGAAAUAAACAUCAUCUUUAUCUUUAAAUAGGAGAAAACAUUCUUUCAGAAAUUGUGCAUUUCAGAAGUAUGUUUUUUAUUUAAAAGAUACAGAGAACUUACUUUUGUUAACAUCUCUGAAUUUGUAAACCAUCGUAUUGGGACACCACCCGUUAGAGACCUUUCUAUCCUCUAUGAUGAGAUUGGUUUGUGGAAACCAAUUGGGAUGGAAAAAAAUUUAUACAUAUUUGAGAGAAACUCUUUUCCUUUUUCAGAGAGCAAAAGCCUUAGCUUUUUUUCUUGAUCAAUUUGUUUUUAAAUAAAACUAUUUUCUUCUAGAUAUUUAUAAUUCUCUUUCUUUCUUGGAAUAGGAAAAGAAGUAGGAGAGAAUCAUGAGAUUUUAUUAUCAAAUCUUCUAAUUAAUUAAUAAUUAAUCAAUUAGUUAAUAAUUAAUUAAAUCAUAUUGAAUUAUAAUUUCAUUCAAAUAGAUUUAAAUGAAUAUCUCUUGAAUAUCUUAGAGGACGUUGGGGGCGUUGAGUGAGUUAUUAUAAUCUGUAGUUAUUAUAGUCUGUGGGUUAUAAUAGGUUAUGAGUUAUUAUAAUAUGUGUUUGGUACAGAUUAUUAUAGUUUGAGUUAUUAUAAUCUAUGUUUGGGAAAGUAAGGAAUAGUGAAAUGAGGGAGUGAGGAAUAGUGAAAGGAGGGAGUGAGGAAUAGGACAAAUAAGAAAAUAAGUAGAAUUGGCCUAAUUAUAGGAUUGUGAUAAUCCUCGGGCAAACAUGGAGUGGGCUCCUUCAUAAUCUGAGAGCCAAACGACCCCUUAUAGAUUUAUAUUAAUAUAUUUAAUCAAAUCAUAUUUAAUUAAUAUUUCAUUCAAAUCUUAUUUGAAUGAAUAUCUCUGUAAUAUUUUAUAGAUUUAAUUAAAUAAAACUAAACUAUUAAUUAAUUCUCCAUUUAAUUAAUAGCUAAAUUAAAUAUCUUAUAUUUAACUUGAAUUAAAUUUGAAUCAUAUUCAAAUAUAAGUUUCGCUCAUAACCAAUCAUUUUAACGUGAAUCUAAUUCACAUUAAACUAGUUCAAAUAUUUUCUCUCUCAUAAAUUAAUUUUGAAUCACAUCCAAACUUAAGUUUAUAUAAUAAAGUUUGAUAAACUUUAUAUGAUAAUGUAUCACUAUACAUUAAACUAAUUUUCAAAGUAAAUUUGAACAUUUCAAAUUACAACAACCAAUAUAAAUAAAUUUUAUUACCCUUUACGAACUAAGAAGGGGACCUAAUGAACCUACAGAUCAGAAUCUACAACGAUCUGAGAUUAAUUGGCUAAACUCAUUAACCACAUUAAUCAAUAUUCGUUUAUUGUGUGUACACUCCACUAAAGACUCACACCCGAACUCUCCUCACUGUAGGUAUAUUUUUGUGUCCAUGGAUAAAAACAAUAACAGUAAGUUAGUCAUUCACGAGUGUUUGUAACACCAGCUGAGUCAAUUUACUGUUUUGCCAUUAGGUUACCUCUAAUCCUUAAAUAUUAGUGUUUCUCCAAUGAACAACCUGUUUAUGCUCCUAUCGAUAAACAGAAACCCCUCUCGUGCCAUAGAGAGAGAGUUUGACUCUUUGUUCAAGACCUAGAUACAUCAUUUAAGGGAACAUUUAUCUACUUACCCUAAAGUAGGAAAUGAGUGAAUUCCAUCUUGUGUAAUUAUGUUCCUAGCUCCCCUCUCGAUCUUGUUCCCAAAAUGAUAAGCUUAUUGAGUCGACGAUCUGGUCACUCUCACCCGUACAAAUCAAAAGAUAAUCCCUCGCGAGCAAAAGUUCAUAAUACACUCAAUAUUAAGAUUAAGUUACCUAGGUCAUCCUAGUGAAUAGAAACCUAACUAGUUAAUGGAGUUACAUCUAGUGGUUACUAUUUUGCGGUCCGAUCUUAUGCAAACUCAUUGCAUAGAAUACCCUCACUCGCAUGUCAACUACAAGAACGUGGAUCAUUGCGUUUGUAUCAAAUACAAAGUGAGUCGUAUUCAUAGUGCUACCAAGAUAAGGUACCCAACUUUAUAGUUAUAUUAUAGACCCUUUAAACUGAGCUCGACCAUUGAUUCAUGUAUGUCUCUACAUACUGUUCAAGACUCAUUAAACAACUUAGGAUGUUAGUUUAUUGGAUUUGGAUUAUUAAGACAAAACUAAUAAUAUAAUCAAUAAGAAUUAUUACAAUAAUCACUUUAUUAAUAAAGAUCGAUGAAUUAUAUUUACAAUCUACGAGUUUAGGACAUAAAUCCUAACAAAUUAUUGUGAUACAAUGACUUCAAAAAAAAUGUUGAGAAUUUUAAAUCUAACAAUUUUAAUUGUUGUAGUAGACUAUUUUUCUUGUAGUGACUUGAUUGGUUUUACGGGAUUUGUUUAGGUCGUAAGUUAAGAAUAUAAGAUUCAUUUUGAAUACUAAGAUGUCUUCAUCUUCCUAAACACCAAGUACCCAUGCCUCUCCAUUUUCCAUUAUUUUACUUCCAAAACUAUAUCAUUAAUUUUGUCCUUUUCCAAAUCAUAAUACUUUUGUUCUUUCUUUUUUAAUUAUUAAGACACUAUUCCAACAUUAUUUUGUCUAUUAUUUAUGUUUUUUAAUUCUAAUCUUACUGCUUUGUUUAAUCCAAAUUUGAAAUAUUAAAUUUAACAUUUAUUUUUUAUAUAACCUACCUGAAUUUAUUUAUUUAUUUUUAACAAUAUUUAAGAGGAAAAAGCCAAAAUUUUAACAUCCAAAUCAAUAGUAUAAUUGUCAUGCCAAUUAAACUAUGAACAUAGUUUUACUUUAACACUUUGACAUUAGAAAUUGUUUUCUUUUCUUAUAAAAGACAACAAUAAAAUAUUGAAGAUGUUAUAAAGUAGUUAUUGUCAACAUUGUCUUCAUGUAUACAUACAUCUAAAUCUUUUACAUUAAAUUUCUAAAAGUUUAAAACUCUAUAAAAAUUGAAAGAAUAUAAGGGUGUAAUAGGUUGGUUUUGAAAAAUUAAAACUAACCAAAAUUUUAUCUAAAUUGGACCAACUUACUAUUAAUUGUUUGAAAUGUAAUAAAACCUUUUGAAAUGUUUGAAGAUGUUAUUUUGUUAGAAUUAUAAUUCACAUCUUAUGAACUUAGCUGAUAGUAACCAUUUUUACAGGAUAGAACAAAAUUUGUUUUAUUUAUAUAGAAUGUAUAUAUAUGAAAUGAAAUAACUAUACACACAUUUACACAAUAACACAAUAUCAAAUAUGAUUAUAUAAACAUCCAAAAACCACACACGUGUAUAAAUCUUUACCGCCCAUCAUCACUUCAAUCUGCUACACUCAGCUCCACCAAACCCUACUCUCUUAUUGGCCAAAUCAUACUCCACCCACAUAUUCUGUUGAUGAACAGUCCCGAUUAUAUUACUCCCAAUCCCAAGCCUUUCUGACCGUCCGAUCCCCACACACUUCACUCCUUUUUCCACUUCCGUCAAAACCCCUUCUCCUCUCCCCACGAAAAUCUCCACUCCGUUAUCAAACUCAAACGAGAUGCCGCCAAUCCUGCGGCCCACCUCCGCCGUGACACCGGCGUCGAAACACAUGUCGGCUACGUCGGCGUAUACGUAGCCUUUCUUCAUCAUCGCACCCACUAAUCUCACUACCUCUUCUUUAACCUUCUCAUACGCUUCAUCCACUAAAUAAGUCAGGUCCGAACCGGAGUCAAUCAUGGUUUGACCCGACCCACCCGCGUCCGGUUUGAAAGCGGCUGGGGGGAUGUUUAGCCGUUUUCCGGCUAUUUUUAUUGCCUUCAUAGGGAGAGUGUAAGCCAGUGGGUCGAGAUUCGGAGAGCUUUGACUUUCAGGAAAAGUCAACAUGGUGACGUAUUUGAAUUUGGAAGAAUUGGGGUUAUCUCCCAGGUAGAAUAGCCCGGUGGGAUUAGACCCUGUUCGACUCGGAACGCAAUAGGAGAAUUUGGAGAUUUUAGCUUGGGAGAUAAAGGACAAACGUCCACGGUUCAUUCCCAAAAUACCCCUGUUUUCGGUGGAGGCUUGAGCGCAACCGAGGAUGACGGGAGGGGUAGAAAGGGAUUUAGAGAAGGUAAAUUUUUCUCUGACGAGAUUUCCCUCAGCCAAG